GAGUUUGAUCUUGGCUCAGAUUGAACGCUGGCGGCAGGCCUAACACAUGCAAGUCGAGCGGAUGACGGGAGCUUGCUCCUUGAUUCAGCGGCGGACGGGUGAGUAAUGCCUAGGAAUCUGCCUGGUAGUGGGGGACAACGUUUCGAAAGGAACGCUAAUACCGCAUACGUCCUACGGGAGAAAGCAGGGGACCUUCGGGCCUUGCGCUAUCAGAUGAGCCUAGGUCGGAUUAGCUAGUUGGUGGGGUAAUGGCUCACCAAGGCGACGAUCCGUAACUGGUCUGAGAGGAUGAUCAGUCACACUGGAACUGAGACACGGUCCAGACUCCUACGGGAGGCAGCAGUGGGGAAUAUUGGACAAUGGGCGAAAGCCUGAUCCAGCCAUGCCGCGUGUGUGAAGAAGGUCUUCGGAUUGUAAAGCACUUUAAGUUGGGAGGAAGGGCAGUAAGUUAAUACCUACGCUGUUUUGACGUUACCGACAGAAUAAGCACCGGCUAACUCUGUGCCAGCCGCCGACCG
This 518-nucleotide ribosomal RNA is filed under the name bacterium enrichment culture clone ALO1_GLFRUDD03GXCO2. Its description in RNAcentral is "bacterial SSU rRNA". It matches the Rfam family "Bacterial small subunit ribosomal RNA", at positions 9 to 520 of the family's 1533-position model. The record is from RNAcentral.